AUCGAACGCUGGCGGCAGGCCUAACACAUGCAAGUCGAGCGGAGUGGCUGACGGGCGAGUAAUUCCUAGGAAUCUGCCCGGCCGUGCGGGUUAACGUCCGGAAACGGGCCCUAAUCCCACAUACUAUCAGAUGAGCGUAGGUCGGAUUAGCGAGUUGGUGGGGUAAAGGCCUACCAGGGCGACGAUGCGUAACUGGUCUGAGAGGAUGAUCAGUCUCACUGGAACUGUUGCACGGUCCAGACUCCUACGGGAGGCAGCAGUGGGGAAUGUUGGACAAUGUGCGAAAGCCUGAUCCAGCCAUGCCGCGUGUGUGAAGAGGGUCUUCGGAUUGUAAAGCACUUUAAGUUGGGAGGCGUUACGAACAGAAUAAGCACCGGCUAACUACGUGCCAGCAGCCGCGGUAAUAC
This 407-nucleotide ribosomal RNA is filed under the name uncultured bacterium. RNAcentral's name for it is "partial 16S ribosomal RNA". It matches the Rfam family "Bacterial small subunit ribosomal RNA", at positions 30 to 526 of the family's 1533-position model. The record is from RNAcentral.